RNAcentral lists this ribosomal RNA (367 nucleotides) under uncultured organism. RNAcentral's name for it is "bacterial SSU rRNA". It matches the Rfam family "Bacterial small subunit ribosomal RNA", at positions 526 to 896 of the family's 1533-position model. The record is from RNAcentral.
CGGAGGGUGCAAGCGUUAUCCGGAAUCAUUGGGUUUAAAGGGUCCGCAGGCGGACUUAUAAGUCAGUGGUGAAAGCCUACAGCUUAACUGUAGAACUGCCAUUGAUACUGUAAGUCUUGAAUUCGGUCGAAGUGGGCGGAAUAUGACAUGUAGCGGUGAAAUGCUUAGAUAUGUCAUAGAACACCGAUAGCGAAGGCAGCUCACUAGGCCUGGAUUGACGCUCAUGGACGAAAGCGUGGGGAGCAAACAGGAUUAGAUACCCUGGUAGUCCACGCCGUAAACUAUCAAUACUCGUUCUCGGCGAUAUACAGUCGGGGACUAAGCGAAAGUGAUAAGUAUUGCACCUGGGGAUACGAUCGCAAGGUUG